CCUACGGGUGGCAGCAGUGAGGAAUAUUGGUCAAUGGGCGCGAGCCUGAACCAGCCAAGUCGCGUGAGGGAAGACGGUCCUAUGGAUUGUAAACCUCUUUUGUCGGGGAGCAAAAGACGCCACGCGUGGCGUUCCGCGAGUACCCGACGAAAAAGCAUCGGCUAACUCCGUGCCAGCAGCCGCGGUAAUACGGAGGAUGCGCGCGUUAUCCGGAUUUAUUGGGUUUAAAGGGUGCGCAGGCGGAAGAUCAAGGCAGCGGUAAAAUUGAGAGGCUCAACCUCUUCGAGCCGUUGAAACUGGUUUUCUUGAGUGAGCGAGAAGUAGGCGGAAUGCGUGGUGUAGCGGUGAAAUGCAUAGAUAGCACGCAGAACUCCGAUUGCGAAGGCAGCAUACCGGCGCUCAACUGACGCUCAUGCACGAAAGUGUGGGUAUCGAACAGGAUUAGAUACCCCAGUAGUC
This 459-nucleotide ribosomal RNA is filed under the name uncultured bacterium. RNAcentral's name for it is "partial 16S ribosomal RNA". It matches the Rfam family "Bacterial small subunit ribosomal RNA", at positions 338 to 795 of the family's 1533-position model. The record is from RNAcentral.